RNAcentral lists this ribosomal RNA (254 nucleotides) under uncultured bacterium. RNAcentral's name for it is "partial 16S ribosomal RNA". It matches the Rfam family "Bacterial small subunit ribosomal RNA", at positions 524 to 776 of the family's 1533-position model. The record is from RNAcentral.
UACGUAGGGGGCAAGCGUUACCCGGAUUUACUGGGCGUAAAGCGCGUGUAGGCGGCUGGUCAAGUGUGAUGUGAAAUCCCACGGCUCAACCGUGGAACUGCAUUGCAAACUGGCCUGGCUAGAGUGCAGGAGAGGGAAGUGGAAUUCCGGGUGUAGCGGUGAAAUGCGUAGAUAUCCGGAGGAACACCAGUGGCGAAGGCGGCUUCCUGGCCUGUAACUGACGCUGAGACGCGAAAGCGUGGGGAGCGAACCGG